AGUGGUAAGGCGGGGGACUGCAAAUCCUUUUUCCCCGGUUCAAAUCCGGGUGCCGCCU
Molecule: transfer RNA, 58 nt
Filed under: Helianthus annuus (common sunflower)
Lineage: Eukaryota; Viridiplantae; Streptophyta; Magnoliopsida; Asterales; Asteraceae
Rfam family: tRNA
About the family: Transfer RNA (tRNA) molecules are approximately 80 nucleotides in length.
Source: RNAcentral